GACGAACGCUGGCGGCGUGCUUAACACAUGCAAGUCGAACGGAAAGGCCCUGCUUUUGUGGGGUGCUCGAGUGGCGACCGGGUGAGUAACACGUGAGUAACCUGCCCUUGACUUUGGGAUAACUUCAGGAAACUGGGGCUAAUACCGGAUAGGAGCUCCUGCUGCAUGGUGGGGGUUGGAAAGUUUCGGCGGUUGGGGAUGGACUCGCGGCUUAUCAGCUUGUUGGUGGGGUAGUGGCUUACCAAGGCUUUGACGGGUAGCCGGCCUGAGAGGGUGACCGGCCACAUUGGGACUGAGAUACGGCCCAGACUCCUACGGGAGGCAGCAGUGGGGAAUAUUGCACAAUGGGCGGAAGCCUGAUGCAGCAACGCCGCGUGCGGGAUGACGGCCUUCGGGUUGUAAACCGCUUUCGCCUGUGACGAAGCGUGAGUGACGGUAAUGGGUAAAGAAGCACCGGCUAACUACGUG
RNAcentral lists this ribosomal RNA (468 nucleotides) under uncultured bacterium. RNAcentral describes it as "partial 16S ribosomal RNA". It matches the Rfam family "Bacterial small subunit ribosomal RNA", at positions 28 to 507 of the family's 1533-position model. The record is from RNAcentral.